AGACGGGCUGUGUAAUGUUAUUGAUGGUAGGUAUCCAGAGUAGAGACAGGCUGUGUAAUGUUAUUGAUGGUAGGUAUCCAGAGUAGAGACAGGCUGUGUAAUGUUAUUGAUGGUAGGUAUCCAGAGACAGGCUGUGUAAUGUUAUUGAUGGUAGGUUUCCAGAGUAGAGACAGGCUGUGUAAUGUUAUUGAUGGUAGGUAUCCAGAGUAGAGACAGGCUGUGUAAUGUUAUUGAUGGUAGGUAUCCAGAGUAGAGACAGGCUGUGUAAUGUUAUUGAUGGUAGGUAUCCAGAGACGGGCUGUGUAAUGUUAUUGAUGGGAGGUAUCCAGAGACGGGCUGUGUAAUGUUAUUGAUGGUAGGUAUCCAGAGUAGAGACGGGCUUUGUAAUGUUAUUGAUGGUAGGUAUCCAGAGACAGGCUGUGUAAUGUUAUUGAUGGUAGGUUUCCAGAGUAGAGACAGGCUGUGUAAUGUUAUUGAUGGUAGGUAUCCAGAGUAGAGACAGGCUGUGUAAUGUUAUUGAUGGUAGGUAUCCAGAGUAGAGACAGGCUGUGUAAUGUUAUUGAUGGUAGGUAUCCAGAGACGGGCUGUGUAAUGUUAUUGAUGGUAGGUAUCCAGAGUAGAGACAGGCUGUGUAAUGUUAUUGAUGGUAGGUAUCCAGAGACAGGCUGUGUAAUGUUAUUGAUGGUAGGUAUCCAGAGUAGAGACGGGCUGUGUAAUGUUAUUGAUGGUAGGUAUCCAGAGUAGAGACAGGCUGUGUAAUGUUAUUGAUGGUAGGUAUCCAGAGAUGGGUUGUGGGAACUUUGCUCUGUAUCACCAUUCCUUUACUAUUGUUUAACUGAGAAGGAACUAACCUGGGAUCCAGUGCUGGACUAACACACAUAACAAACUCAGUGAGAUCUGUCUUUAGACCACAGCCAACAUAACAAACACAACAAAACAACAGCAUGUUGAUCUUAUACCGUUUAGCGUUGGUGUAAGUGUGUAGAAUACUGUGUCCUAUUAACUUGACUCCUACAACAAAUGGUGUAGAAAUGUCUGGUUUAAGACGUGAUCCUCUUCGCUGUCCUCAUGCC
This is a non-coding RNA of Oncorhynchus mykiss (rainbow trout), 1073 nucleotides long. NCBI's taxonomy places the organism in Eukaryota, Metazoa, Chordata, Actinopteri, Salmoniformes, Salmonidae. The record is from RefSeq and is a predicted model, not a curated record.